CAGCCGCCACGGGAAUACGAAGGGUGCAAGCGUUACUCGGAAUUACUGGGCGUAAAGCGUGCGUAGGUGGUGGUUUAAGUCCGUUGUGAAAGCCCUGGGCUCAACCUGGGAAUUGCAGUGGAUACUGGGUCACUAGAGUGUGGUAGAGGAUAGUGGAAUUUCCGGUGUAGCAGUGAAAUGCGUAGAGAUCGGAAGGAACACCGAUGGCGAAGGCAGCCAUCUGGCCUAAUACUGACGCUGAGGUACGAAAGCAUGGGGAGCAAACAGGAUUAGAUACCCCGGUAGUCCCUGUCUCUUAUAC
RNAcentral lists this ribosomal RNA (301 nucleotides) under uncultured bacterium. RNAcentral describes it as "partial 16S ribosomal RNA". It matches the Rfam family "Bacterial small subunit ribosomal RNA", at positions 509 to 807 of the family's 1533-position model. The record is from RNAcentral.